Long non-coding RNA from Saccostrea echinata, 382 nucleotides. RefSeq lists it as uncharacterized. The record is from RefSeq and is a predicted model, not a curated record. The transcript has 2 exons. NCBI's taxonomy places the organism in Eukaryota, Metazoa, Mollusca, Bivalvia, Ostreida, Ostreidae.
UCGUGUAUCAUUGAGAUACGAAGUUAACGAGUUGCAUUUCAUUCUGUAGGAUUUGACCAGCCGAUUUUGGAAAACUAAUUAUGAAAAUAGUUUCUUACCAAGUAUCAUUGACGACAUGGUGUGCUUUAUUUCUUGUCAUCAGAAUAAGUAUUGGUGACCCCGUGACACUUUGUCAGGCUGAAGCACGGGAAACUUUUGAGGAUUGCAAAUUAGGAUGUAUCUCUAUGAACCAAAUGCUGCUCUCUGGGUGUUUGAGGACAUGCACUACACAUAAUACACAGCGAAUGAAGAUUUGUAUGUCCAAUACCUAAACUGAAAGCCGACGGCUUGCAGACUUUGUUAUGAAUUACCAUUUCUCUAAUUAAAAACAUUUGUCAGUACA